RNAcentral lists this ribosomal RNA (465 nucleotides) under Vreelandella stevensii. Its description in RNAcentral is "partial 16S ribosomal RNA". It matches the Rfam family "Bacterial small subunit ribosomal RNA", at positions 338 to 795 of the family's 1533-position model. The record is from RNAcentral. Lineage: Bacteria; Pseudomonadati; Pseudomonadota; Gammaproteobacteria; Oceanospirillales; Halomonadaceae.
CCUACGGGGUGCUGCAGUGGGGAAUAUUGGACAAUGGGCGAAAGCCUGAUCCAGCCAUGCCGCGUGUGUGAAGAAGGCCUUCGGGUUGUAAAGCACUUUCAGUGGGGAAGAAAGCCUUGGGGCUAAUACCCUCGAGGAAGGACAUCACCCACAGAAGAAGCACCGGCUAACUCCGUGCCAGCAGCCGCGGUAAUACGGAGGGUGCGAGCGUUAAUCGGAAUUACUGGGCGUAAAGCGCGCGUAGGCGGUCUGAUAAGCCGGUUGUGAAAGCCCGGGGCUCAACCUGGGAACGGCAUCCGGAACUGUCAGGCUAGAGUGUAGGAGAGGAAGGUAGAAUUCCCGGUGUAGCGGUGAAAUGCGUAGAGAUCGGGAGGAAUACCAGUGGCGAAGGCGGCCUUCUGGACUGACACUGACGCUGAGGUGCGAAAGCGUGGGUAGCAAACAGGAUUAGAUACCCCAGUAGUC